AUUGAACGCUGGCGGCAUGCCUUACACAUGCAAGUCGAACGGCAGCACGGGAGCAAUCCUGGUGGCGAGUGGCGAACGGGUGAGUAAUAUAUCGGAACGUGCCCAGUCGUGGGGGAUAACGUAGCGAAAGCUACGCUAAUACCGCAUACGAUCUACGGAUGAAAGCGGGGGAUCGCAAGACCUCGCGCGAUUGGAGCGGCCGAUAUCAGAUUAGCUAGUUGGUGGGGUAAAAGCUCACCAAGGCGACGAUCUGUAGCUGGUCUGAGAGGACGACCAGCCACACUGGAACUGAGACACGGUCCAGACUCCUACGGGAGGCAGCAGUGGGGAAUUUUGGACAAUGGGCGCAAGCCUGAUCCAGCAAUGCCGCGUGCAGGAUGAAGGCCUUCGGGUUGUAAACUGCUUUGUACGGAAUGAAACGGUGAGCUCUAAUAAAGACUUGCUAAUGACGGUACCGUAAGAAUAAGCACCGGCUAACU
This 479-nucleotide ribosomal RNA is filed under the name uncultured bacterium. Its description in RNAcentral is "bacterial SSU rRNA". It matches the Rfam family "Bacterial small subunit ribosomal RNA", at positions 30 to 502 of the family's 1533-position model. The record is from RNAcentral.